Molecule: long non-coding RNA, 364 nt
Organism: Phyllostomus discolor (pale spear-nosed bat)
Lineage: Eukaryota; Metazoa; Chordata; Mammalia; Chiroptera; Phyllostomidae
Exons: 4
Source: RefSeq, a predicted model, not a curated record
CAACCAAUUCUAGGCUGAUAUCAGGCAAAAAGAAAUGGAACAAUCAUGAAUACAAUGAUGCUUUAAAAGAUGCAAAAAGCUAUGCACCAUUAGGAAAUGAUGACAGAGGUGAAUCCAGGAAAUACCACAAAUAAAUGGGUAGGUUCCUUUUGAGAAGGAAUAAGCGGAGUCUGAGACAGAAACCUAAGUCCAGCCAGAUGGGAAGCACUGAGGCACAGGGGCUCCCUGGUUGUCAUUCACCUCCUCUCCAGUUUUCCAGGGGAGGUCGCUAUAAGGACUGUCACUUUAGAUCAAAAGACAUACUCAUGCCAACUAACCAAGAUUCCUAAAUCUAAUCACACCCUUCCCCAAGGCCAGAAACACA